UAGCUGAGUGCUUUGUUCACUUUGAAUAUACUGGUUAGGGCUGAACAAAAAUUUACUAAACUGGAUCUUUUCAACCCAAUCUAAACAAAAAGCUAUGGUUUUAUGACUUUUAUGGUCGAUUUUGGUUCUUGGAUUAUCUAUGCUGGAUUAUUUUGGCUUGAAGAUAUGGAAAUCCAGUAGAACCAAGCCAAAACUAUAAAGCUAUG
This 206-nucleotide unclassified non-coding RNA is filed under the name Hevea brasiliensis (rubber tree). The record is from RNAcentral. Lineage: Eukaryota; Viridiplantae; Streptophyta; Magnoliopsida; Malpighiales; Euphorbiaceae.